GAUGAACGCUGGCGGCGUGCCUAAUACAUGCAAGUCGAGCGAACAGAGGAGAAGCUUGCUUCUCUGAUGUUAGCGGCGGACGGGUGAGUAACACGUGGGUAACCUACCUAUAAGACUGGGAUAACUCCGGGAAACCGGGGCUAAUACCGGAUAAUAUUUUGAACCGCAUGGUUCCAUAGUGAAAGACGGUUUCGGCUGUCCCUUAUACAUGGACUCGCGCCGUAUUAGCUAGUUGGUAAGGUAACGGCUUACCAAGGCGACGAUACGUAGCCGCCCUGAGAGGGUGAUCGGCCACACUGGAACUGAGACACGGUCCAGACUGCUACGGGAGGCAGCAGUAGGGAAUCUUCCGCAAUGGGCUAAAGCCUGACGGAGCAACGCCGCGUGAGUGAUGAAGGUCUUCGGAUCGUAAAACUCUGUUGUUAGGGAAGAACAAAUUUGUUAGUAACUGAACAAGUCUUGACGGUACCUAACCAGAAAGCUACGGCUAACUACGUGCCAGCAGCCGCCGUAA
This 514-nucleotide ribosomal RNA is filed under the name uncultured bacterium. RNAcentral's name for it is "partial 16S ribosomal RNA". It matches the Rfam family "Bacterial small subunit ribosomal RNA", at positions 28 to 523 of the family's 1533-position model. The record is from RNAcentral.